CUCUGCGUGCGCCGGAGGCUGCCGUGGCGGGUGGGCCGCCUGACUUCUCCUCCCGGCCAGUUCUCGAGCGCCUCACCGGGCCUCGCCCUGCAGCCUCGCUCUCGCUGGCGCUGCGCGGCCUAGGGGACUGGGCUGCUGGCCUCCGGGUGCGGGGUGGGGGCAGGCUCCGACCUGGGGCGUCCUGGCCGCGCGAGCCGCGGGAUGGGGGCCCGGGCCGCGGAGGAGGCGCCGCUGGUGUGUCCCUUGGUGGAGAGGGCGCUGCCGGCCCUGCGCGGUUUCCAGCCAGGAAGCUUCGGGAAGCCUGGACGUCUGCUCACUGGAGAUGACACGUGCGUGGGGUGUUGGGUAAGUUGGUGCAUUGGAGCUGGAACAGGGUCAAUCCUCCAAUGUAACUAAGCCCUCCUGUGCAACAUCUUAAGUGACUGGAGGGACCAGUCGGUCUUGUGUUCACAUUGAGGCUAGAAGCUGUCUCCAGGGGAGUAAAAACGGAUUAUUUAGUCUUCAACAGGACACUGCCCCUAGAGGCGUUGCAGCUGUGGCUGCCGUGUCACAUCUGUGUCAUUAGGUGGCAGAGAUUAGAGAGGCUAUGUCUACGCUCAGCGUUCUGCCCCGUGAACGUUUGAAUGUUUGAUAGUCUCACACUCCUGUUUUGUGGACAGGCAUCUGUUUUCCUUCGCUGGUAUCUGGGAGAGAGGGUGGGCCCUGUGAGUGGGCUUUCUAACUCUCGCGCUGGGCUAGGCUGGCCUCUAGGGGUCUGAAGGGAUAGUGGGAAGGUGGAGGGUGCCUUCACCAGGAGCAGCCUUCAUGAGUGAGUUUUAAGAACCUGUGAGGAUCGGUCAGGUCAGGUGAGGUACGCGCUGGAUCAUGCCGUACACCGUGUCAGGAUCACGCAGGACAGGACUGGGGAAGGGUUUGCUGGCGUCUCGGUUAAUAGCAGUAACGGCAGCCGCUUGUGUUCUUGAUUCUUUGCCAAGCAUUCUUGUUAUUUAACACGGGAAGGAGGUGACUUCGCCUGUGAUGGACUUCCAGUGUGAGCACUGGCCAGAGUGACCAGGCUGACCAGCACCAGCCCUGAUCCAGGUAAGAGGUGAGGCGGAGGCUUGCCCUCCUUCCCUGCCUGCCGGGUGCGUGUGAGCGGCUGCCCUGCGGAUGCUGUCCUGGACCUGUUGGCACCACAGACAGUUGCUCUGCUGUGCCUGUGGCCUCGGGGCAAAGAGAAAGUGGCGAUUUCUACACUCAGUGCUCGGGAACCAGUGGGCACUGAGAAUGGUUUAUGGCCUGACAUUACUUGCAACCAAAGCCAGGCAGCAUUUGGAUUUUCGCUUUUGGAAACCACCUUACCUGGUUUGCUCCAUGAGGGAGGGGCAGCAACAUCGCUGGGAACCCUGAGGUGUAGAUAUGUAUAAAUGAGCUGUGUGUGUAUCUGAAGCUCGGGCACUUGUGGGGUUACCAGGAGUGUGCGUCUCACUCCCAGGCCUCGUUCUGGAAACGAUUCUGUAGGUCUGUCUGGGAGGCCUUAGGCAAGUUUGAUUAAGAACAGUCGAGCUGGAUAAACAGGCUGUUCCUUGUCCAGCACUAGUCAUCCCAGGGGGGCGGGGGCGGGGCUGCAACUCCUGUGCACAAAGGAAGGGCCCUGGGUAGGGGUCAGGAGCUGCCUUGCCCAGAGAUGUGUCUGGGUCACUUUGGAAACAGGAAUCCUCUCCCCAAAAUGGGUAGCAAUGGGGGUACAGAGGCCAAAGACGCAGCUGCAUGUCCUGCAGUGCCUGGGACGCCCCGUAGUGAAGAGUGAUGUGGCCCAAAUGUCAGCAGUGCCAGUGUCAGACUCCUGCUAAGAGACAGUAUCAAGAAAGAUAACUUCAAAAUACACUUUCUGGAGGCCUGGCGCGGUGGCUCAGGCCUGUAAUCCCAGCACUCUGGGAGGCCAAUGCAUGUGGAUCACCUGAGGUCAGGAGUUCGAGACCAGCCUGGCCAACUGCCUGAAACCCCAUCUCUACUAAAAAUACAAAAAUUAGCCAGGUGUGGUGGCGCAAGCCUGUAAUCCCAGCUAUUUGGGAGGCUGAGGCAGGAGAAUCGCUUGAACCCGGGAGGCAGAGGUUGCAGUGAGCCGAGAUCGCACCACUGCACUCCAGCCUGGACAACAGAGUGGGACUCUGUCUCAA
RNAcentral lists this long non-coding RNA (2159 nucleotides) under Homo sapiens (human). RNAcentral's name for it is "non-protein coding SNHG7:7". The stretch from base 512 to 643 matches the Rfam family "Small nucleolar RNA SNORA17". The record is from RNAcentral. Lineage: Eukaryota; Metazoa; Chordata; Mammalia; Primates; Hominidae.